AUUCAGCUGACGCGUCCCAAAUCGGACGAGACGAGCGUCCUAGAU
Schistosoma mansoni is the source of this 45-nucleotide non-coding RNA. The record is from Rfam. Lineage: Eukaryota; Metazoa; Platyhelminthes; Trematoda; Strigeidida; Schistosomatidae.